Long non-coding RNA from Hemicordylus capensis (graceful crag lizard), 325 nucleotides. RefSeq lists it as uncharacterized. The record is from RefSeq and is a predicted model, not a curated record. NCBI's taxonomy places the organism in Eukaryota, Metazoa, Chordata, Lepidosauria, Squamata, Cordylidae. The transcript is spliced from 3 exons.
GGCCUCUGAAGGAGGAGGUAUGAUCAGCAACUACUGUAGGACAAAAUGACUCUAACAGCCAUGGGCUAGGAAUCAACUGGGAGUUCCUUACUUCGACGAUCCCAUAUCUAUGGCAACUUUUCACCACUCAGAAUCGAUUAAAAAAGUGAUUGGCUUACCUUAUCGGAGGAGUAGUGCUGAUGGAAAAUGAUUGAUUCAUUGAAACUGAAAGACAGAUGCUUUUCACAGAAUGAUGUCCCCACCUGGCAAACUGGCACUGAAGCAAUUUCUUAAUGGAUUCCACACAUACAGCAUGCCAUUAUGUUUUGGCACCUAUUCCACUGAC